Molecule: ribosomal RNA, 330 nt
Filed under: uncultured bacterium
Lineage: Bacteria
Description: bacterial SSU rRNA
Rfam family: Bacterial small subunit ribosomal RNA
Source: RNAcentral
UGUGUAGGCGGCUUUUUAAGUUUGGUGUGAAAUCUCCCGGCUCAACCGGGAGGGUGCGCCGAAUACUGAGAGGCUAGAGUGCGGGAGAGGAAAGUGGAAUUCCUGGUGUAGCGGUGAAAUGCGUAGAUAUCAGGAGGAACACCGGUGGUGUAGACGGCUUUCUGGACCGUAACUGACGCUGAGACACGAAAGCGUGGGUAGCAAACAGGAUUAGAUACCCUGGUAGUCCACGCCCUAAACGAUGCACAUUUGGUGUGGGUCAUUCAGUUGAUCCGUGCCGGAGCUAACGCGUUAAAUGUGCCGCCUGGGGAGUACAGUCGCAAGGCUGAA